This 420-nucleotide ribosomal RNA is filed under the name uncultured bacterium. Its description in RNAcentral is "partial 16S ribosomal RNA". It matches the Rfam family "Bacterial small subunit ribosomal RNA", at positions 360 to 772 of the family's 1533-position model. The record is from RNAcentral.
AAUAUUGGACAAUGGGGGCAACCCUGAUCCAGCCAUGCCGCGUGUGUGAAGAAGGUCUUCGGAUUGUAAAGCACUUUAAGUUGGGAGGAAGGGCUUUAGGUUAAUACCCUGAAGUUUUGACGUUACCAACAGAAUAAGCACCGGCUAACUCUGUGCCAGCCGCCGCGGUAAUACAGAGGGUGCAAGCGUUAAACGGAAUUACUGGGCGUAAAGCGCGCGUAGGUGGUUCAGUAAGAUGGGUAUAAAAUCCCCGGGCUUAACCUGGGAACUGCUUUCAUAACUGCUGGGCUAGAGUACGGGAGAGGGUAGUGGAAUUUCCUGUGUAGCGAUGGAAUACGUAGAUAUAGGAAGGAACACCAGUGGCGAAGGCAACUACCUGGACUGAUACUGACACUGAGGUGCGAAAGCGUGGGGAGCAAA